This 429-nucleotide ribosomal RNA is filed under the name uncultured bacterium. RNAcentral's name for it is "bacterial SSU rRNA". It matches the Rfam family "Bacterial small subunit ribosomal RNA", at positions 997 to 1386 of the family's 1533-position model. The record is from RNAcentral.
GGCUGAGAGAUCAGCUGUUCCCUUCGGGGACAGAAUGACAGGUGGUGCAUGGUUGUCGUCAGCUCGUGUCGUGAGAUGUUGGGUUAAUUCCCGCAACGAGCGCAACCCUUAUGAUCAGUUGCCAGCAUUCAGUUGGGCACUCUGGUCAGACUACCGGUGACAAACCGGAGGAAGGCGGGGAUGACUUCAAAUCAUCAUGCCCCUUAUGACCUGGGCUAAACACGUGCUACAAUGGGUGGUACAACAAGCAGCGAGACCGCGAGGUCUAGCGAAUCUCUAAAAACCAUUCCUCAUUCGGAUUUUAGGCCGCCACUCGCCUGCAUGAAGCUGGAAUCCCUAGUAAUCGCGGAUUCACACCCCCCCGGUGAAAUACUUUCCCCGGGUCUUGGACCACCCCGAAAUUUAAUUUAACUUCCCCCCCCCCUUGAU